UCAUCUUGUAUUGACAUUGACUAUUUCAAUCAAUAGAUUAAAACAAUUUUAAAUCGUCAGCAAAUAAUAAAAAUUCACAGUUUCUUACAAAUAUUCCUAUACUAUUAAUAUUGAUUGUAAAAAGCAAUGGACCCACAUGCGAACACUGAGGAACGCCAGAUGGCACAGAAAAGCUGCUAGAUAAAAAGUUAUUAAGCCGCAUACAUUACAAUCUACCUUGUAAACAGUCCCCUAUCCAACAAAUAACAUUUAAUCCAAAACCCAAAGCUUGAAGCUUUGCCGGCUUUUACAUUGCCAUGACAGUUGCUUGGUUACAAGUGCAUCCAAAAGUUUAGGUAUCGAUUGAAUCCGCACAGGUUUUUAAUCUCCAGGGAAGAGACUUCUUCUGGAUAAAAGGGAAAACGGUUUGAUAUCAAUUAGUGUUUGUGGAAUUGUCGAAAAUCAGUAAUACGAGUAGGCUCAUUUAUUUAUUAAAUAAAAUCAUAAGAUACAAAA
Anthonomus grandis grandis is the source of this 495-nucleotide long non-coding RNA. RefSeq lists it as uncharacterized. The record is from RefSeq and is a predicted model, not a curated record. The transcript has 2 exons. NCBI's taxonomy places the organism in Eukaryota, Metazoa, Arthropoda, Insecta, Coleoptera, Curculionidae.